This 464-nucleotide ribosomal RNA is filed under the name uncultured Klebsiella sp. RNAcentral's name for it is "bacterial SSU rRNA". It matches the Rfam family "Bacterial small subunit ribosomal RNA", at positions 338 to 795 of the family's 1533-position model. The record is from RNAcentral. Lineage: Bacteria; Pseudomonadati; Pseudomonadota; Gammaproteobacteria; Enterobacterales; Enterobacteriaceae.
CCUACGGGGGGCUGCAGUGGGGAAUAUUGCACAAUGGGCGCAAGCCUGAUGCAGCCAUGCCGCGUGUGUGAAGAAAGCCUUCGGGUUGUAAAGCACUUUCAGCGGGGAGGAAGGCGGUGAGGUUAAUAACCUCAUCGAUUGACGUUACCCGCAGAAGAAGCACCGGCUAACUCCGUGCCAGCAGCCGCGGUAAUACGGAGGGUGCAAGCGUUAAUCGGAAUUACUGGGCGUAAAGCGCACGCAGGCGGUCUGUCAAGUCGGAUGUGAAAUCCCCGGGCUCAACCUGGGAACUGCAUUCGAAACUGGCAGGCUAGAGUCUUGUAGAGGGGGGUAGAAUUCCAGGUGUAGCGGUGAAAUGCGUAGAGAUCUGGAGGAAUACCGGUGGCGAAGGCGGCCCCCUGGACAAAGACUGACGCUCAGGUGCGAAAGCGUGGGGAGCAAACAGGAUUAGAUACCCUAGAGUC